This 460-nucleotide ribosomal RNA is filed under the name uncultured bacterium. RNAcentral's name for it is "partial 16S ribosomal RNA". It matches the Rfam family "Bacterial small subunit ribosomal RNA", at positions 338 to 795 of the family's 1533-position model. The record is from RNAcentral.
CCUACGGGGUGCAGCAGUGAGGAAUAUUGGUCAAUGGCCGUAAGGCUGAACCAGCCAAGCCGCGUGAAGGAAGACGGAUCUAUGGUUUGUAAACUUCUUUUAUAGGGGAGUCAAGGUAUCUACGUGUGCAUUUUUGCCUGUACCCUAUGAUUAAGCCUAGGCGAAAUCCGUUCCAGCAGCGGCGGUAAUCCGGAGGAUCCGAGCGUUAUCCGGAUUUAUUGGGUGUAAAGGGUGCGUAGAUUGGUUUUUAAGUCAGCGGUGAAAGUUGGUGGCUCAACCAUAAGAUUGCCGUUGAAACUGGAAGACUUGAGUAUAGUUGAGGUAGGCGGAAUUCGUGGUGUAGCGGUGAAAUGCAUAGAUAUCACGCAGAACUCCGAUUGCGAAGGCAGCUUACUAAGCUAUAACUGACACUGAGGCACGAAAGCGUGGGGAUCAAACAGGAUUAGAUACCCCUGUAGUC